AAUAAAAUAAGCUAAUUUAAGCUGUUGGGUUCAUACCCCAGAAAUGAGUUGUCUCUUUUGUUA
Molecule: transfer RNA, 63 nt
Filed under: Nipponnemertes punctatula
Lineage: Eukaryota; Metazoa; Nemertea; Enopla; Monostilifera; Cratenemertidae
Description: tRNA-Met
Source: RNAcentral